UGUCUGUAACCUCACACAGACAUACAAUGGGUCAAAACACUAAUGUACAUAAAAUACAAAUAAACAAGUUAUUGUUAAAAAAGACAACGAGACUGACCCUACAGAGUGAGUUCCAGGACAGGACAGCCAGGAAUGUUAAACAGAGAAACUCUGUCUGGAAAAAAAAAAAAAGACCAUGAGGCAAAGAUGGUGCUGACCUUUAAUCUCAGCAGAGGCGGGUGGAUCUCUGAGUUCCAGGACAGCCAAGGCUACACAGAGAAGCCCGGCCUCGAAAAAACAAACACCAACAACAAACAGACAACGACGCAAACCGCAAUGCUCUCUGUGACUUUGAGGCCAGCCUGGUCCGCGGAGCGGCUACAUAUUUCGGCAAACACUCAAGAUAAAGAGGAGGAAGAAAAAACUAAAAACCUUUGACUCAGUGGGGAGGAGAUCAGGUGUGUGUGGAGGGGGCCCUGCUCGGAGUCCUAAACCUCUACUCCAGACCACAUCCGGCUCCGUGACCCGCACACCCUCGUCUACUGUGAAUCACGCUUGCUUUUCUUUUCUGAGAAAUGGUGGCUGUUAGGUGGCUCAGUGAGUGACAGUGAGACCCGGUGACACCCAGGGAGUACAAGGCGAGGCAGUCGGGAGCACACCUCUCCCACCUCUCCCGCUAGUGAAUAGACACCCCAGGUCACGGGGCGCGUUGCUUUGGGGGUCCCUGAGUGUGCGUCUGCUCCCAGAUAUCCGAGGGGCUGGUCCUAUCUGGCAGUGAGUCCCAUCUGUUCUUUCUUUUCUCCUCUGUUCUGGGCGCUGGCUGUCCCAGCCCCACCUCCUCCCGUGCGUGCGUCAGCACCAGCUGAGGUCACCCGCUUGCUUGGCCGCAACCCUGCCUUGGUUCCGCUGGCACGGAUGACUCAGCGGUGGGCGAGCCCAGCCCUGCGUGGUUCCUGGCUUCGGGGUCCUUCUCGCCUUGGAGGUGGGGAUGACUUGGAACCGCAGGUCCCUUGCGCCCUCUGAAGACUGGUUUCUCCGCGCGAUGCCAGUGCUGACCCCGAAGACGGAAGGGGAGAGUGCGGACUGGCUCCGAGGAUGCGGGUAGCGAGAGGCUAGCAGCUGGGCAGCUCCGCCCUCCAUCGUAGUGGCUCAGACACUGGACUUGGCCUGCGAGUGCAAGCUGGGUAUCUCAGUGGGCAGGUUUCCCACGCCCAGCAGAGCACACUCCCACGGGGCCCCGCCCAGGUCACGCCUCCCCCCGCACCCCCAGGGAGGGCAAUCGCAGGGUCAGAGUGUCCCUUCUGAGCGUCCUGCAGAAACUCCAGCCACCCCUCCGCCCACCUGCUUUUGUGCGCAAGCCGCUGCAGCAGGUGGACAGCGGCGAGGCACAGUACGUUCAGAUCAGCAGCUUUCCGCCCUUUUGUCCGGCCCCGACCCGCCCCCUAGUCAGGCGCCGAGCCCAGCCUCCGGAGGGUGGAAGCCAGCCCUGACCCAGACUAGCUCUGCAGGCUACUCCCUGCAAGCCAGCUGCCAGAGCGGGAGGUGUGGUGGCGAGGCUAACCUGUCCUGUCCCCUGCAGCCCUCUCAGUCUAUCUGGGGUCACCAGAGCUGAUGAACCGGGAGGGAAUGGAGAACGGGAUUCCUGCCCCUCCCGGAGCUCCAAUCCCUGCAGCGUGAGGUCAGGGUGGGGGCUGAAACGGAAUCCGCCCCAUUUUCUUGGUUGCCCGGGCCCUGCCCACCUCUGCCUCCUUCUCCAGGGCUGGGGAACCCCUCCCCCUCCCUCCACCUGAGGACGGGGCUUCUGAGGCUACUCACUGGGUGUAACUUGGAAGCCUCAGGUCGCCGGCCUAUGGUGGGGGGCAGUCAGUUAACUUAGGGGCGGAGGUUGGAAGCCAAGCAAGCAGUGGUCAGAAGCCGAGGCUCAGUGAGCAACGAUGGAGCUGAAGGCUGAACCACACAAGAGCCCCAUCGAGAGAGAAUGGGGACACACAGACCUCACUGUGGGGCCCAGUUUGCAGCUGAGCCUGAAGCAGGCUCAGACAAAUGAGUUAAGUCAGAGCGCUGAGAGUAGGAACUGCGGUGUGUGUGUGUGUGUGUGUGUGUGUCAGCUUUAGGAUGUGCUGGGCUCUGGGGAGGUGUCUCGGCACACUCUCCCAACACCACUCACCACCACACCACAGGCCACAUCAGCACAGCGACGACGAGACGCCUGGGCUAAUUUGUGGCCCCGAAAGGAGCAAGGCCCUUGGGGGAGAGCCAUCGUCUCUCUUUCCCGAGACAGGGUUUCUCUGUGUAGCCUUGCCUGUCUUGGAACUCACUGUGUGGGCCAGGCUGGCCUUGAACUCACCGAGAUAGGCCCUGCCUGUGCUGCUGGAGUGAUGGCAUCAAGGGGUGGGCCACCACACCCGUGCAGCGUGUGUGUGUGUGUGUGUGUGUGUGUGUGUGUGUGUGUGUGUAUGAAUUAGUCUCCUUGGGGCCUCAGCUGGCCAGGAGUGAGUGUAUCCUUGAGAGCAGGCCAAGGCACAGGCGGGCAGUCCUGUCUAUGUCUAGCCUCGGGUCUGACACGUGGGGUCACUGAGUGAAAAGGGACUACCCGGGGGCAUCUUGGAGCAGUUGUGCACUGGGCAGAUGCCUUCCCUGGAGGGGGAGGGGCAGGCUCGCAGUUGGCCAACAUGCUGUUUCGUGUGGUGGGGGUCCGUGAUGCCCUGCAGAUCCUUGACCUCCACGGCUGCCGCGCGUGCGUGCGCCCCGAGUUCUGGCUCACUGCUCUGCCACCGGAGACUGCCCGGGUCUCACGCUCAGUUUUAGAGCCUCCUUCAGCGACAGGGCCAGGCCUGUGCGUCCUGGCGCUGGACGGACAAGCAACACCCACUUGCAUUUGGUGCGUUUGGUGCGUCUGCAGAGGCCUAGGACAAGGAAGUGAGCAGCGUGGCGGUGUUUAGGUUUGCAUUUCCUCGGGCUCUGACGUUCUGCUUUUUAUUACGGUUUUUGGACUUAGAGACCCGGCUCAAAGACAGCAGAGGAGUUCGCCCAUUACCAUUUAAGGUCAGCAUCCUACCGCGCGGCAGCCCGCCCUCACCUGAAAGGUUAACCUUGGUACUUACAUUCCAAACCUGACCUGAAUCUCACGGCUUAUUCGGUCUCUUCUGCUUCAGGGUUAGGCUGACAUCCCCGAUGGCAGAAAUAGCAGAGACCGAGCAUGGAGGCCCAGGGCCAAAUUUCUUGUUCCGUUUGCCUAACAAGGCAGCCUGUUAGGAGGAAGCGUACAGUACCCAAGGUGGGUGGAGCACUGCUGGAGGACCGAGGUACCAGGCACAGAGGUGACCACAAGUUCAAGGAGUAUCCAAAAUGUCCGCGGGGAGAAGGGACUGACAGGUUGCAAAACAAAACAAAACAAAAGACACAUGGGAGGGCUUCAGGGUGGGGGCAGCAUGCAUUAAAUCUCCUAACUCCUCGCCCCUUGGAACUGCUGUUUUUUUUUCAUCCAUGAAAACGACCAGACUGUGAAAUAAGCAUCGAGGUCACAAUAAAAAACUGACCAAAGCCAGCACAGGAAAAAAAAGAAAAAAGAAAAAUUCCUGUCAUUUCUCUAGCCUGAGUCUCUCUUUACAACGAGAGGACACGCCCACUUCUGGCCGCUCAGCAAUCGCUGCCCCAGCUGGCCUGCAGGCUCACACGGAAGGCAGGCGUUCUCCAGUCCAGCUCCGAGAGGGGUGGGGCCGCCAACUUCCGCAGCAGUCGAGCUGGGCCGGGACCUGACCUUGGGUGAGGCCUCACGCAGUCCGGUUGCAAAGCAGAAAAGACAAAAAAAAAAAAAAAAAUCACAGCGCGCGCGCACA
Long non-coding RNA from Mesocricetus auratus (golden hamster), 3818 nucleotides. RefSeq lists it as uncharacterized. Lineage: Eukaryota; Metazoa; Chordata; Mammalia; Rodentia; Cricetidae. The record is from RefSeq and is a predicted model, not a curated record. The transcript has 2 exons.